Potamilus streckersoni is the source of this 73-nucleotide non-coding RNA. The record is from the annotation of a GenBank genome assembly. NCBI's taxonomy places the organism in Eukaryota, Metazoa, Mollusca, Bivalvia, Unionida, Unionidae.
GACCCGGUGGCCUAGAGGUAAGAGUGUCCGCCUCGGAUGCGGGAGGUCGAGGGUUCCAUUUCUGGCCGAGUUA